CCUACGGGAGGCAGCAGUGGGGAAUAUUGGGCAAUGGGCGCAAGCCUGACCCAGCAACGCCGCGGGAAGGAAGAAGGCUUUCGGGUUGUAAACUUCUUUUCUCAGGGACGAAGAAAGUGACGGUACCUGAGGAAUAAGCCACGGCUAACUACGCGCCAGCAGCCGCGGCAUUACGUAGGGAGCGAUGGUUAUCCGGAUUUAUUGGUCGAACGGGGUGCGUAGAUGGCAUAGUAAGUCUUUUGUAAAAAUGCUGGGCUCAACCCAGUAGGGCAACGGAUACUGCAAAGCUAGAGUAUGACAGAGGCAAGUGGAACUACAUGUGUAGCGGUGAAAUGCGUAGAUAUAUGUAAGAACACCAGUGGCGAAGGCGGCUUGCUGGGUCGAUACUGACAUUGAGGCACGAAAGCGUGGGGAGCAAACAGGAUUAGAUACCCCUGUAGUC
This 442-nucleotide ribosomal RNA is filed under the name uncultured bacterium. Its description in RNAcentral is "partial 16S ribosomal RNA". It matches the Rfam family "Bacterial small subunit ribosomal RNA", at positions 338 to 795 of the family's 1533-position model. The record is from RNAcentral.